ACACAAUGGCGGGAAAGUUUGAAUAGGGGCAAGCGACAGUGAAUGGGACAGAAAAGAGUGAAUGAGUGUAUUUUACCGACAGGAAUGCAAUAUGACAUUCAACAACGGCAACAACGGCGUAAAUUCUGAAGGAAUGAUGUCCAACAUGACUGCAGAAUUAUACAGCCGAUAGGUGUUUCCAAAAAAGGGCAUCCUACCGAUUUUCUUCCUGAUAUUGCUGGAUACGAGAAGAAAUCAUGGAAACUUCAGGAAAUGAUUUCAAACAUCACUUUUAGAGAUAGCAAGACCAGGGCAAGGUGUCGACCAAGACUUCUACCACUCAAUGCGUGUCCAUAUCCUGAGCCUGCGAGCCACAUUGGAUGAUUGGAAGUGGGAUAAAGGCAUACGUUCGAGGACACAUCCACAGACACAUCUUCCUUCAUAUGACCUGGGCUCCGUAACACAAAGGUUUGCGAUCAAUUGCAAAUAUGGAAGAACCGCACUGAUUGGUCGCUGGCCAGAAUUUUAAACCUUAUGCGCAUGUAACAUUGAUAUUGAUUGGUCAGUUCAUUUAGCGAUUGAUCGCUAAUCUUUGUGUUACGGAGCCCUGUCAGCGAAGAACCGAGCAGCUAGGAGAUGAUGAUCAAGAGAUGAUGAUAGGUCAGGUGGAUAGCAGAGUGUUACUCGGAAGGCAAUUGUGGUGAGAUGAGGUCUUCCAUGUACGUUGUAUAUGCACCCGCAGUUUUACCAUGGAGCUAUUAAACAGCUCCAUGGUUUUACCACGAGAAGGAAUAAGAUGUGGACAGUGUAUUUCAUCCUAACAUGGGACCAUGCGGAUACCAUGGUUGGAAAGUUCACCCGAUGCAGCCUCACCAUGGUGAGAGGUGAUCAAGGAUCCAGUUGUUGCCGGUCCGCGAGUCCGGUCCGGAGUCCGAGGAACUUCACUUACAAGGCGGGAAUGUUCCAGAGGAUGUUACGGUUUUUUUACAAUCAGAGUGUGUUUUUAAGGUCUUCUGUGCACCAUAAAAACAAUUAUGUGUAAGUUAUCAGGCACUGAGCUGCAAGACAAUACUUCUCAAACGACCAUAUCUGGCAUUAAAGUAGGAAAAAAAUUGCAGUUUCAUUUAUUCCCCUCCAAUUUCAAGACCGCGCAUAUCGCAUAUCUAUUCCCGGAUGUAUUAAUCAGCUAUGACAAGGCAUUGUUUUACCAAUCAGAAUUGACUGUUUAAAUAAAUGACAGCCCAUGGAAAAGCUACAGAUAACUCGAUUAUUUGUGCGACUUUUAGCUCAAAUUUGGGUAUUCUGUCCAAAACGUCCUCUCCGAAUUCGGUAGUUAUAUACGCGUAUUGUACUUGAUUAUAUUAUGUUUCUAUGGAUACUUUUACAUAUAUUUUAUGCAACAAACUUAGAAUAAUUAGUGACGAAAUUUUUUUAAAGUGAAAUGAGACGCGCAGUAUACUUUGAUUGUAAAACAACCCUUAACACUGUUAAAAGCGCUGUUUAAAAUUAUAAGCACGUUGUUUAAGCCCGUCUCUCUAACAACUAUUGUUAAAGCUUUACUGUUUAAACUUUUCAAACAACGAUCGUCUUCUCAUUUAGCCUAUCAGAUACUUUAUAUUACAGCACGGGAAUGUUCCAAGGACGUUAACAGGCCUGUUAUAGCAGAAUUCAGUCAGCAUCGAUCGACAUACAGGGAAUGUAUUAACUGCAGAUUUAUCAAGAUAGACACUGGUUUUGUAAUUCAGUUUUUCCGUUAGUUUUCUGAAUAACGCCAUUAAAAUAUAAAACAAAUAAGGAGAAAGGUAAAAGACUCGCCGCAUUCAUGGAAGGAAGAUGAACUGAUUUGGUUGAUUAAUUUUUCUCCAUUGAAUCCUACCUUCAUAGUAAAAAAGCACGUGUUUAAGCCUGUCACUCUAAAAAAAGUUGUUUAAACUUUUGUGUAAUUGUUUUUAAACAACUUGUUCAUGUUGUAAUAUAAUAUGUCAUUAUUUAAGGCUUCAUUUUGGAUUUUAGUAGAAUUACAACAUGAAAGUCUUAGGCUUUAACGGAAGAUGUUUUUUUUUUAUUCCCAAAGCAAGGGAACAAAGCGACCAAGCUAAUCAUGAAACUUGCAGUUUCAUUCGUGAAAUUUAAGGCUAAUUUUGCAUAGUUUGGUGAAUUUAACUGAUAUUUUAAGACAAAAAGCGUAAACUCCCACAUUUUUUGUCUGUUUUGGACGGGGAUGACAACCCGCCUUUCUAUUCUGAAUUUGGCCCUCUCCACCAAAGUGUAGGUAGUACAUGGGUACAGUAUGCAGCGCUUAGAAAAAAAAACAAGCGCUACAUAAUAAAUUUUGCAAUUUUGUAAUAAAUUAUUGUAAUACUGUAUAGUUUUUGUGAUAGGUUCAAGCUAAGAUUCAUUGCUUUAUCAAUUUUUGGACCAGUAAUGUCCAUUCCUUAGUGUUGUGAUGUUUCAACCCCCCUCUCUCUCCCCCUUUUUUGGAGGGGGGGGGGGUAGGGUUUUCAUUUAUCAUGCAUUUUGUCAUUAGUGGUCCACAAAUUAAUUUGGGAGCAAUUAUAAUACAUUUAACGUAUCUAUGGCCCAUAAAAGAUUACUCUGUAAUAAGGCAAACAAUUCAACAGGCCCAUUUGUUGAAUGGCUUACAUUUUGGACAUUCAUUUCUGGAAUGCAUUGUAUUACUGAACCUUUUCUAAUGAAUGGAGAGUAACAAAAGUGAAAGUCCAGUUAGCCGUUUGACUGUUAGGAAAGCUUCAUCUGAUAUACUUUUAAGGGCAAGUCCACCCCAACAAAAAGUUGAGUUGAAUUAUCAAACAAUCAAAAUAAAAGUUUCAUCAAAUCGGAUGUAAAAUAAAAAAAAGUUAGAAAAUUAUCAGUUUGAGAAAGACAGAGGGGGGGGGGGGUCAUAUUAUGUAAAUGAGAGAGUCGAUUAUGUCACACACCAUUUCUUUUGUAUUUUACUAGAUGAAACAUAGACAUACCAAUUUUUGCAGAUUUGACAGUUAGAAAGCAUCUUCAUUGAUUGAAUGAGAAUAAUUAUGUUGCAAUAAGGAUAAUCCUAUACAUGCAAAGAGAAUUCAAAACCUUGUUCCACAUAAUAAUGAGGAAAAUAAGAGGCCAUUGUAGAUUUCACGUGAUAAUAAGAUACAAAAGAUAUGGUGAGUUGGAGGGUGUUUCAUAAAGCUAAUUGUUAAUUCAAGACCGACUUUAAGAAGAACUGGUGAUCCUUUCUUACGUGCUCAAUAAUCACCAAUGGUGAAAAUGAAUGCAGGAAAUGAUCACCAGUCUUUCUUAAAGUCGGUUUUAACUUACGAACAGCAUUAUGAAAUGGCCCGUUCCCUUACGUGCAUACUGACUAGAAUUAAGUGACACCAGGAAAUGCCAUGCAGUUUCUUAUUUUACAUGAGCUAGAUUAUGAUGAAAUUUUCACCUUGGUUUAAAUUGCAUUGAAAUACAGUCUGAAAUAUAAGUUCAUCUGCGAAUGACAUUUGGGCUAAAUUUUAGAAUUCGUUGUUUUGCCAGGAGGGUGUUUUAUGAAUCCGUUCGUGAGUUACGACUGACUCUAUGUCUGACUGGUGACCCUUUCUUGUGCUGUAUGAUAUAUAAUAAUAAUAAUAUAGAUAUAUUUACCCAGGGUAGCCACUUCAGUUUCAAAAACUGUUCUACCAGCAGGCCCUGCUAUUAUUAUUACCCCGGCUUUAGCUGAGCUGCCUAGGCGCUCAAGCAUUCAAGGAAUUUCUUCCUACCGGGUACCCAUUCACCUCACCUGGGUUGAGUGCAGCAGUGUGGAUGAGUUUCUUGCUGAAGGAAAUUACGCCAUGGCUGGGAUUCGAACCCACGACCCUCUGUUUCAAAGUCAAAAGACUAAUCCACUGGGCCACAGCGCUCCACUUUGUACCUGACAUAGCACCCAAGAACAUGGUCUAGCCAUGCAUAAAGUCGUGCAUAAAUUUACGAAGAGCUUUAUGAAACACCCACCUGGGCCCCCGUUGCAUAUAAGUUACUUUCAUAGUAACUUUGCCACCCAAUGGUAAAUACCAUGGUAACGAUGCUACGCAGCCAAUCAAAACCAAGAAUUUCACUGGAUGACAGAGUUACUACAGUAGUAAAUUUUAUGCAACGGGGCCCUGGACAGUAAAUGAUCCGUGUUACACUUCCUUUUGGCUACUUGUGUUUAUUCUUGUACCCGGUUUCAUAUAAAACUUGUCCCAUUAUCACCCGCUCUCUCUCUUUCUUUCUCUCUUAUCCCCCUUCUCUCUCUUUUGUCUCCCAAUCUUUUUUUAUAUUUUCUGAAGGUACUUUCACAUUUGGUUGUGCAAUCAUAAUUGUUACAUUAUAUUUUGCGGAAAAGUUGCACGACCAAUUUUGAAAGCCCCUUUAUAUACAUGUGUAUAGAGUGUCCCACAGAAGGGGAAACCGGGAUUCUCGGUUUAUUGGGAAUAAUUUUUUCAAUAUUGGCAUAUGAUUCACGAUCUUUUAUUGAUAUCAUGAAAUCAAUUUGUUGUUGUUUUGGUACAUCUUAUAUCAUUAAGUCAAGAGCUGCCAACGCCAAUCGGAGAGAAAAAGAAACAUUUUUUAAAACCCUUUUUCCAAGCGUAAAAUCUUAUUUUUGUUUCAAAUUUUGGAAAAAAUAUAAUUCUUACAAGUUUGAGAAAUCCCAUUUCAAGGGGAAAAAAAUAAUUAUCCUCUUAAAAAUCCUACUACUUGACCAGCUCUGCUAGGUCGCACAUAGAUGUAAAAAAUACAAAUUUAUGGUCAAAACAUAUUUACUGAUCGUGAUACCUUUUUUUGUGUGACACUCUGUACACACAACCCUUGAAAAUAGAGUGAACUUCAUCAAAUGCAUGUUUACAUAUUAAACCUAUAACCACUUAUUUAGCAAAAAAAUAAGAACUACCAAUUAUUCUCAUUUCCAAUAUCCCUUAUGAUAGAUGUAUGAAACAUGAAAAUUUAUCUUUAACCAACAUAUAUGAAUAACCUUUACUAUUGCCAAUUUGAAGUAAUAUUCAUUUUUGCUUUGUAAAUGCCAUAAGAAUAUUGUUUGAACAAAUCUAACCAAAAUCAAAAUCUGUUCAGAAAUAUUAUUUUCAUUUUAUGAAGUUCACUCUUGAUAAUAUUAAGAUAAAAACAUCCCCUUUUUCAAAUGAAAUUAUACCUACCGUGUUGCAAAUUGCAUUGUUAUUGAGUUACCCAUCAACACUUUCGAUGAUUUUGUUUAUUUGAUCAUGGAAAACUUUAGGCUGGAUAUUGAAAUAGCUCAUCCAAAUGCAGUGAUGCUAAAUUAUACAAAAAUAACAUUCUCCUGAAAUGAGGAAA
Long non-coding RNA from Lytechinus pictus (painted urchin), 5292 nucleotides. RefSeq lists it as uncharacterized. The record is from RefSeq and is a predicted model, not a curated record. Lineage: Eukaryota; Metazoa; Echinodermata; Echinoidea; Temnopleuroida; Toxopneustidae. The transcript has 2 exons.